Molecule: ribosomal RNA, 406 nt
Filed under: uncultured bacterium
Lineage: Bacteria
Description: partial 16S ribosomal RNA
Rfam family: Bacterial small subunit ribosomal RNA
Source: RNAcentral
AUUGAACACUGGCGGCAGGCCUAACACAUGCAAGUCGAACGAGUGGCGGACGGGUGAGUAAUGUCUGGGAAACUGCCUGAUGGAGGGGGAUAACUACUGGAAAAGGUAGCUAAUACCGCAUACCAUCAGAUGUGCCCAGAUGGGAUUAGCUAGUAGGUGGGGUAACGGCUCACCUAGGCGACGAUCCCUAGCUGGUCUGAGAGGAUGACCAUCCCAACUGGAACUGAGACACGGUCCAGACUCCUACGAGAGGCAGCAGUGGGGAAUAUUGCACAAGGGGCGCAAGCCGGAUGCAGCCAUGCCGCGUGUGUGAAGAAGGCCGUCGAGUUGUAAAGCACUUUCAGCGGGGAUGCGUUCCCCGCAGAAGAAGCACCGGCUAACUCCGUGCCAGCAGCCGCGGUAAUUC